GCCUGGGUAGCUCAGGGGUAGAGCAGUGGAUUGAAAAUCCUCGUGUCGGUGGUUCGAUUCCGCCCCUAGGCACCA
This 75-nucleotide transfer RNA is filed under the name Roseovarius nubinhibens ISM. RNAcentral's name for it is "tRNA-Phe(gaa)". It matches the Rfam family "tRNA". Rfam says of the family: Transfer RNA (tRNA) molecules are approximately 80 nucleotides in length. RNAcentral also lists the same sequence under 1 other name. The record is from RNAcentral. Lineage: Bacteria; Pseudomonadati; Pseudomonadota; Alphaproteobacteria; Rhodobacterales; Roseobacteraceae.